UUGCUUCUGUGACAGAUAUACUAAAACUGAAAUGAUACAGAGACGAUUACCUGAGCCCUGCACAAGAAUGACAUGUAAAAACAUCAUCAUAAAUAUCAUUCC
Molecule: small nuclear RNA, 102 nt
Filed under: Echinops telfairi (small Madagascar hedgehog)
Lineage: Eukaryota; Metazoa; Chordata; Mammalia; Afrosoricida; Tenrecidae
Source: RNAcentral